AUUCCAGCUCCAAUAGUGUAUAUUAAAGUUGUUGCAGUUAAAAAGCUCGUAGUUGGAUUUCUGGCGGGAGCGAUCGGUCCUUCACUCAGUGUUGGAACCUGAUUGUCUCCUGCCAUCCAUGGAGAAAACUUAUCUGGCAUUAAGUUGUCGGGUAGGCAAUCUCCAUCUUUUACUGUGAAAAAAUUAGAGUGUUCAAAGCAGGCUUAUGCCGUUGAAUAUAUUAGCAUGGAAUAAUAAGAUAGGACUAUGGUACUAUUUUGUUGGUUUGUGCACCAUGGUAAUGAUUAAUAGGGACAGUUGGGGGUAUUCGUAUUCCAUUGUCAGAGGUGAAAUUCUUGGAUUUAUGGAAGACGAACUACUGCGAAAGCAUUUACCAAGGAUGUUUUCAUUA
RNAcentral lists this ribosomal RNA (391 nucleotides) under Rhizosolenia sp. RNAcentral describes it as "partial small subunit ribosomal RNA". It matches the Rfam family "Eukaryotic small subunit ribosomal RNA", at positions 582 to 975 of the family's 1831-position model. Lineage: Eukaryota; Bacillariophyta; Coscinodiscophyceae; Rhizosoleniales; Rhizosoleniaceae. The record is from RNAcentral.